RNAcentral lists this long non-coding RNA (221 nucleotides) under Neogale vison (American mink). RNAcentral describes it as "Neovison vison (American mink) lncRNA (ENSNVIG00000008826.1)". The record is from RNAcentral. Lineage: Eukaryota; Metazoa; Chordata; Mammalia; Carnivora; Mustelidae.
CUGCAGUUGGCAGGCUGCUGCGGGAGGCGGUGGCGGUGAGAAGCCGGAGGCAGCGGGGUGACAGGAAAGUGGAGAGCCUCAAAAAUCUAUUGUAAGAGCGCUGGAAAAUAUUUAAGUCUCAACAAAUGAAUUCCACACUUGAAUUCUGCCGCAUUCCUGUGCCACCUCCUCCUUUAGAAAACUGAUCUUAGAACAGAGGUAAAAUUAUGGAAUUUAACUUU